Molecule: long non-coding RNA, 905 nt
Filed under: Arabidopsis thaliana (thale cress)
Lineage: Eukaryota; Viridiplantae; Streptophyta; Magnoliopsida; Brassicales; Brassicaceae
Description: long non-coding RNA (ATHA_LNC000530)
Source: RNAcentral
UAUUACUCUUUAGUCUUUACUUUGCUCACAGCUUUGGAUCACCAAAAAAAAAACUCAAGAGAGACUUUGUGGCCAUGGCAGCCUCUCUCCAAUCCACCGCUACAUUCCUCCAGUCGGCGAAGAUCGCCACCGCUCCUUCUCGCGGAAGUUCUCACCUCCGAUCGACUCAAGCCGUCGGCAAAUCUUUUGGGCUCGAAACUUCCUCGGCUCGCCUCACUUGCUCCUUCCAGUCUGACUUUAAGGACUUCACCGGUAAAUGCUCCGACGCUGUCAAAAUCGCCGGAUUCGCUCUUGCCACCUCUGCUCUCGUCGUCUCGGUAACUUUCUUUAAUCUCCGACUCUCCUUUAAAACUAUAGAUUAAUCAAGAAAAAAAAGGAGAAUUGAGUAACAGAGAAGAAGAGUAUUUUGUUGUGUUUGUGAUAACAUGUUUAUGAUUUGCAUUACUAUGUAUCGAAGUUGGCACUUGAGAACACCUAAACCAAUAACAGACUCGGAUAGUAUAAUAGAAGGAGAAACCGCUAUUCCAAUUCUGUAAUCUUCGAUUCAUGUAGAUACAAUCUUCUUGGAUCAGUGAGUUUGAUUUAAAGUUGCUUGUUUCUCGUGUAAUGAAAGGGAGCAAGUGCGGAGGGAGCUCCAAAGAGAUUGACCUAUGAUGAGAUUCAGAGCAAGACAUACAUGGAAGUGAAAGGAACUGGAACGGCUAACCAGUGCCCUACUAUUGACGGUGGCUCUGAGACUUUCUCGUUCAAACCCGGAAAGUAUGCAGGAAAGAAGUUCUGCUUCGAGCCUACUUCCUUCACCGUCAAGGCAGACAGUGUAAGCAAGAACGCUCCUCCAGAGUUCCAGAACACAAAGCUCAUGACCCGUCUUACCUACACCCUUGACGAGAUCGAAGGACCCUUCG